AACGAACGCUGGCGGCAGGCCUAACACAUGCAAGUCGAGCGAGACCUUCGGGUCUAGCGGCGGACGGGUGAGUAACGCGUGGGAACGUGCCCUUUUCUACGGAAUAGCCUCGGGAAACUGAGCGUAAUACCGUAUACGCCCUUUGGGGGAAAGAUUUAUCGGAGAAGGAUCGGCCCGCGUUGGUUUAGGUAGUUGGUGGGGUAAUGGCCUACCAAGCCUACGAUCCAUAGCUGGUUUGAGAGGAUGAGCAGCCACACUGGGACUGAGACACGGCCCAGACUCCUACGGGAGGCAGCAGUGGGGAAUCUUAGACAAUGGGGGCAACCCUGAUCGAGCCAUGCCGCGUGAGUGAUGAAGGCCUUAGGGUUGUAAAGCUCUUUCAGCUGGGAAGAUAAUGACGGUACCAGCAGAAGAAGCCCCGGCUAACUCCGUG
This 433-nucleotide ribosomal RNA is filed under the name uncultured bacterium. RNAcentral describes it as "partial 16S ribosomal RNA". It matches the Rfam family "Bacterial small subunit ribosomal RNA", at positions 29 to 507 of the family's 1533-position model. The record is from RNAcentral.